GUCAGGUGAAAAAUAAGCUUUCAUCAGGGAGGAACUCGCAAGUUUGGAUUUUUAGAAUCAAAACAUUGCUGAAAAAUGGAAGAUUCUGAGCAUAGAGAUGAUCAAAUAACAAAUAUAAUUAAUCCAAUUAUUCAAGGAACUCAGUUGUCACUAAUAGGAGCUGAGCUUGUUUCUUUGCCUGCUGGUUUAUGUGAAGAACACGGAAAUGUGAUCACCAGGUUAGAUUUGAGUUUCAACUGUUUAAGGACAUUGGUUGGGCUAGAGUCAUUUUCAAAUUUACAGGAGCUAGUAUUGGACAACAAUGAGAUAGACGAUCAAGUACGAAUACCAAGGCUCCCUCAACUGCACACAUUAAUGAUUAAUAAAAACAAAAUUACAGAUUUGGAAGUAUUAUUGGAACAACUAAAAAAGCAACUACCAUGCUUGACCUACAUUAGUCUCCUAGGGAACAUAGCUUGUCCAAAUGAGCUCUCAGCCUCAGACAAAGAUGAAGAGGAUUAUAAAAGAUACAGGUGUUUAGUGUUGUACCAUCUUCCAAAUUUAAAGUUCCUUGACUCGAAACGGAUUACAAAAAGAGAGCGAGAAGAGGCUAAACGGAAAGGCCCAUUCCUGAAGGUUGUUAAACCCAAUGAAACGACAAGUGAUUCUCAUGAAGGUCAGUCGUCACCAGACCUAUACACACCGUUGCCCCAAGUACUCAAAGAAGGUGGUCAACACCAAGGAACGUUUGGGCAGUGCAAGUACGUCUACUAUGGCCGCCACUCAGAGGGUAAUAGGUUCAUCCGCAACACUGACCUUUAACCCCCCUUUAGAUGCAUUUUUUUGUGCCAAAAGAAAAGAUGAUAAAUAUACCAAUGAACAUGAAAUUUUGGUGAAAGUUCAUUUACGUUGAUUUUGAUUUUGGUAUAGUUUGCAUGAUUCAUUCCAUCUCAAAAUGAAUGAAAGUGAGUGGAUGAAUAAAAUAAUUUAUUUUUACAGUUCAGUAAUUUACAUAAAUCUCAGCCUAUGUUCACAAUUAUAUGGCCCUCAUCUUGGGUCCAAGGACCUAGCCCUAGUGGGGAAAAGGUAGUGAACCCCUUUGCAGAGCAUUGAUAUGAGCAUUAUUCCAACCCAAACAUUCUGAGUGAUUAUUUCCCAGAACAUUAAGAAAUUUUUCUGUAAUAUUGAAAUGUAAUAAAUAAGUCACCAAAUAGGACACUUUUUUUUUUUUUUUUUUACCAAAACGGUCUGUAUAUAGGUUUGUACAAGAUGAGGGGUGGGAUAAAAAAGUUUUUUUUGUUUUUAUUUUUUAAAUGUAGAAACUGAAUAUAUGUACACUAAAGGUCUCCUUGCAAUUUCGGCUAAUUCUUUUGUGGUUUGGGAUUAGAAGAGGGAUCUUUAAUUGGAGUAAGACACAUGAUUAAAAUGAACUGCUGCACUAUGUAUUAGGUCAAGCUCACCAGCUUCAGUUACUUUUUAAAUGUGUUAAAAAAGUUCCAAAUCACAACAACCAACAUUGUAUCACCUUGGCAGUAGUAGUACCAACCACGAGGUGAGAAAAGUUUAGAGUUAACCAAGCGUGAAACGGUUGUAGUGGGUGUGCUAUGGAACCGGCGGUCGUGUGAAAACAAAAUCGUGUAAAAAAAGAAUUUUUUUUUUUUUUUUUUUUUACACUACACAAUUUUGAUUUUAAGAAAAAAAAAACCAUGCCCCUCAUAUUUCAGAUUUUAGGUGUGGCGGAUGACGGCAAACAACUUUUUAAUUUUGGAUUUACCUUGGAAAUGUGAUUGAUAUCUGCACCUUACAGCUAUCAUUCCAACUUAGACAACUUAUCAACCACUGUGACAGAAAUACAAACAGAUUAUUUGUUAUUUUGACAUGCAAACUUCAAACACCCAUUUACUCUUUCUUAGGCAAGACUUUUUUUAUAUCGCCAUCCCCACCCCCAAAAAAAGAUGAUUUCAAAUAAAAAUUAAAUUUUAUUUUUGACCAAUUAGUGCACCUGCCAAAAUGAAAAAAUGGAAGUUUCAGAAAAAAUAAAAGUUUUUCUUAAUUUUGUUACGCCGUUCGCUGCCUUGAACUUUCCAAAAAAGUAAGAUAAGAUAACUAAUUAUGUAAAUUUGUAACAUUUAACCAUCCCAUUAUUACACUGUUUACAUUUCACCAAUAAAAGUUUAUUUUUAUUUUCUCCUCCAUGUGGAUGUUUUAGCAAAACUACUUGCUAAAUAAGAAAACAAAAUUUUUGUUUUAAAUUUUUCCGCCCUCCUCCGACAGUCUUUUAAAGAAUAUGGUCGGGAAACGAGGUAUAAAAAAUGUCUCGUCUUACCAUGGGUAGGUUAAUAGAAGUGGCAUGCUUAUUUUAGUUUUAGCUCUUCUUUCACACUGCCACUUUUUGGCAUUCACUGCCAACUUUGAGCUGCCCAUCUCAAAUGACCUUGUGAAGUUUGCAAUGCAAUAUAACUGUUUCUUUCUCUCAUAAAUAUUUACAUUGCUCUUUCUCUUCUGUUAUUAAUAUGAUUUAUAUAUGUCCCACAUCUCAUUUCUACUGGGUACAGCCUACAAAAUCAAGCGUUCAAGUUACUGUUGAAAAGCAAAGUGUUUUGCUGUUGAUACAUCAUUUAUACUGUACGAAAAUAGGAGGUAUCUUAUUUUAUAUUUAUAGUUUUACAUUUUGUUGAACACUGUAAUUUAAAAUUUCAAAAAUCAAUGCAAAUAAUUAAGGUUUGUUGUGUUUUUGUGUGUGAUGAUGAUGCUGUUCUAAAUGGAGAUUUAUUUUUAUGUUAUGUGUCUACCUUCGGAAUAUUGGUACUAUAUUCAAAUAAAUUUAUUUGGUUUGUAUUAAUUUAAUGGUCAUAAGUUUGUUUUACAAAACCAAACAGAAAAUUUUCAUAGUAUAUUAGUCCUAAAUGGAAUCUUUAUAUGGAUCUUUAUAUCAUAAAUUAAGAUUUUGAAUUUGGUACAGUCUAGCAUGAGCAUAUUCCUGGGCCUAUCACGUUCUCAAUUGUCAGUUGUAAAGUUUGAUUGACACUUUGGGAUAGUCCAUUGUGAGUCUGCAAAUAAUAUAGAAAUAGUCAUUAUUUAUCGUAUUUAUUUACUCAAUGCAGAAAAUAUUCAUAUAUAAAGUCUGAAAAGAAAUGUCUGAAGAUAUUUUUUUUCACAAAUGUAUGAAUUAUGAUUUUUUUGAUAUAUUAUUACAAAGAUUGAAAUUUACUUUUUUACAAUAAUUCCAAAUAUUUGAAAUUGGCAGCUGCAGUGCCGCGCCAGUACCGACAUGUAAUGUAAGAUAGACACACUGAGUCAUGAAGGAACGGUUGAAGCAUCAAAGGAGAAGGGCAGACCCCAUUGAUAUAUACAUGAAUAUUUAGAUUACUGUAGUCAUUUUUGUUUUUUAAGUCUGCAGAAAUGGAAUAUUAAAUGUCACUGAAAUUACGUUAAAUAUUAUUAAAUAUUAAUAUAUCUACUGGUAAAUGUUCACUCUUGUCUGACCCCUGUUUUUGUUAAAUUUUACAAAUAUUUAUUCAUUAUGAUUUGUUGAUGCCUUGAAUAAUCUUGUAUAGUUCUACACUUUUUUAGAAGUAUAUGGGGAGCAUUUUCCUUUAUCGUAUAAAAUGUAUUAAAUAGCUAGAGAAAAUCACCUUAUUGUAUCCAUUUUAUUUUUAUGCUUAUGUAACAUAUUACUGCUGCACAAAUUAAAAUUAUUUUUAAAAAUUGUACUUUUACAAUUGUCAUACAAUAACACAUUCUACAAUUAAUUUCCAUAGUUUCUUCAUGUCUGUAAAAUUAUGUUCCUGCUAUGCUAUUAUACUAAUGUACAAUCUGAUGCCAUCAUUAUCUCCUUACUAAUUAUUUCUUUUGUGUGAUUGUGUGCUCCAGUCCAUUCUGUUGGGCGAAAUUUCCAGUAUUCGUAUAAGCCAGCGUUUUAAAAAUAAGUUUGUAAAUAAUGUGCUUAGAAAUAUAUCGUAAUUAAUGCACUCUAUAUAAAGUACUGUAUGUGAAAAUACUUAUUUUUAUUUUAUUUAUCUUAUUUUAACUGUUUUUAAUCUUUAUCUAGACCUAUUUUAGCAGAAAUAGUAUAUCAAUCUUGGAAUGUAGUUUUGGAAAUCACAAUACUUUAAUUAAAAUUGUUUUAGAUGCAUUUAUAUUAUACCUUAUAAAAUAGAUGUACAGAGUUGUCAAAUUAUUUAUAGAAUGUAGGCGAACAAUGAAAUAAAGACAAUCACAGGCUUACAGUA
Molecule: unclassified non-coding RNA, 4211 nt
Filed under: Anneissia japonica
Lineage: Eukaryota; Metazoa; Echinodermata; Crinoidea; Comatulida; Comatulidae
Description: leucine-rich melanocyte differentiation-associated protein-like, transcript variant X2
Source: RNAcentral